AAACAGAUGCAGCACACUCAUGCGCCAUGACGCACAUUUUCCAGCGCGCCAUCUCCAUCCCUUCUGGUGUAGUCGGCUCCUUGCCGCCUUGCCGCACACGUAUACCCAUGCAGUCGAUGCCGCGGGCAUCGCUGGAUGCGGUGCCGUUCAUUCAUCCGCUCUAACCCACCAAACACACAGAGAGGGGGAUCCUUCACGCACUGCAUAGAGAGAUGCCGCUGCGAACAUGAAGCUCGUCGUGAACCGUGGAUUGGCGAGCUCUGCCAGCGCGUUCACCACCACCGGCGACGCAAACGUCAGCCUAAACCUGACGCAGCUGGGCUUCAAGCGGUGCGGGAGGCCCACACGGAUCGUAGAGGCAACGCGCGCACACGCCCUACGGGCAUGAACUAUCACGGUGGCUCGGCGGAGCUGAGAGGAUAUGUGAACGAUGAAGGCAGGAACUAGCUGCCUUGCAGACGGCUGGCAUUCCGGCGGACGAGACGGCGAUCUUGGUGGAUGAGAGCGGCUUUCCACACAUCACGGGGAUGCCGGGCAGAGCGAACAUUAUCAAGUGCAUGGCGUGGCCAGCGAAGAGGGUUGAAGGCAGGCAAUGUGCUCCCCAUGCGCCACAGCAGCCACGGCACGCGGACCGAACCAAGGGAUCAGUGCGGCAACGUCGUCUGCCCCCCCCCACCAACUACGACGGUUCGCUGGGCGCAUCCUCGGCAAGGGCAUUCCCGUCGGCAUGGCAACGUACCAGCUGCCUGUCGUACGCCUGACCGUCCUCCUCGACCGCUGCCACUCGGUCAGCAUGCCAGACCUCCCCUACUGCUUCGUCGGCUUCAGCGGCGGCAAGACGUGCUCAUGAUCUCGGGCUGCCAGGACACGCAGACAUCCUCCGACUUCGGCGACGCUGUGCCUGGCGUGCGUUGUCAUAAACGCGCAGGACCUCUCCGACACGGACACGGUACUCAAGACGCGCGAGAUUCCCGUGCAGCAGUUCGACUAGGUGUCACAGCUAAGCGCGUCGAAGCACAUCGAAUUCAGCACCCGCUCCCCACGAGUUUGACCCUUCACCGCGCACACCUCCGUCAAGCGCUCACUGCCGGUGAUGUACCCGUAGAGCAGGGCGCUGGACGCGGUAGAAGCUCAACGACUUCUUCCCACCCUCACCAUAAGCCGGUGCGCAGGCGUGCCUCGGAGACCGCUCCAUCGGUAUGGCGCCUCCCACGUUACCCUGAUGACAGGGAGUGGAGAGGAGGGGUGGGGGAGGGGCACACCCCAGUGCCUGGCAUCCAGCGCACACACACAUACACACAAACUCUGUGCGUGGGAAAGCCAAGCGGUCUCUCCCCUCCCCUCUUCACCCCUGCCAAUGCAGAGCCACUUCCGGUGGUGACAGGGCUAGGCCCCCUACGGCGUAGGAGGAGGGGGGGGGGGGAAGGGCAGCGCGAUGUAUCGCCACUGGUCUCGGCGGCCAGGCCGUGGAUGGCGGGGCGGAAGCAUGGGUAAAGUGUGAGGCGGAGGGGCCGUGCUCUCAGAUGACGGAGUCGGGGCAUUGUGCCGUGACACCUGCGCGUCUGCGGCUGCUUCGCACCACGCGGAUGGGCUGCCUGUGACACAGGGCCGCGCAGGGGCUGUCGCGUGGCGCAUGGCCGCAUGCGGUGCGGGGCAGGGCCAUGGGGCUCACGCUGAUGUCAGCAACAACGUCGCAUAUCCUAUAUUUCUGAUGGUGCGCCUCCAUCGCCUUCGUUGUGCACGUUGAAGUGGUUCUUCUCUCCGGGCGCUACCCCCCCAUACCACCUUGUUCUUCUGGGCCCUCUUC
RNAcentral lists this unclassified non-coding RNA (1807 nucleotides) under Leishmania donovani. Its description in RNAcentral is "gene:unknown". Lineage: Eukaryota; Euglenozoa; Kinetoplastea; Trypanosomatida; Trypanosomatidae. The record is from RNAcentral.